Molecule: ribosomal RNA, 194 nt
Filed under: uncultured Desulfovibrio sp.
Lineage: Bacteria; Pseudomonadati; Thermodesulfobacteriota; Desulfovibrionia; Desulfovibrionales; Desulfovibrionaceae
Description: partial 16S ribosomal RNA
Rfam family: Bacterial small subunit ribosomal RNA
Source: RNAcentral
CCUACGGGAGGCAGCAGUGGGGAAUAUUGCACAAUGGGCGAAAGCCUGAUGCAGCGACGCCGCGUGAGGGAUGAAGGCCUUCGGGUCGUAAACCUCUGUCAGGAGGAAAGAACUGCACGGGUGCUAAUCAGCCCGUGUUUGACGGUACCUCCAGAGGAAGCACCGGCUAACUCCGUGCCAGCAGCCGCGGUAAU